This 508-nucleotide ribosomal RNA is filed under the name uncultured bacterium. Its description in RNAcentral is "bacterial SSU rRNA". It matches the Rfam family "Bacterial small subunit ribosomal RNA", at positions 17 to 518 of the family's 1533-position model. The record is from RNAcentral.
UUAUGGCUCAGGAUGAACGCUAGCGACAGGCCUAACACAUGCAAGUCGAGGGGCAGCGCGGAAGAAGCUUGCUUUUCUGGCGGCGACCGGCGCACGGGUGCGUAACAGGUGUGCAAUCUGUCCAUAGUCGGGGGAUAGCCCAGCGAAAGCUGAAUUAAUACUCCAUGUGAAUCGAAGCCGCAUGACUUUGAUUUGAAACGCAAGGACUAUGGGUGAGCACGCUUCUGAUUAGGUAGUUGGUGGGGUAACGGCCCACCAAGCCGACGAUCAGUAGGGGUUCUGAGAGGAAGGUCCCCCACAUUGGAACUGAGACACGGUCCAAACUCCUACGGGAGGCAGCAGUGAGGAAUAUUGGUCAAUGGGCGAGAGCCUGAACCAGCCAAGUCGCGUGAAGGAUGAAGGUUCUAUGGAUUGUAAACUUCUUUUGUCCGAGGGUAAAAAAGGCCACGUGUGGCUUCUUGCAAGUAUCGGACGAAUAAGCAUCGGCUAACUCCGUGCCAGCCGCGGC